CGCUUUUGGAGGGGGGUGCGUCCUAUCAGGUAGUUGGUGUGGUAAUAGCUCACCAAGCCUAUGACGGGUAGCCGGUCUGAGAGGAUGUCCGGCCGCAAUGGAACUGAGACACGGUCCAUACUCCUACGGGAGGCAGCAGUGGGGAAUCUUGCGCAAUGGGCGAAAGCCUGACGCAGCAAUCCCGCGUGAAGGAUGAAGCAUUAUGGUGUGUAAACUUCUUUUCUGGUGGAAGACGAAUGACGGUACACCAGGAAUAAGGGACGGCUAACUACGUGCCAGCAGCCGCGGUAAUACGUAGGUCCCAAGUGUUAUCCGGAAUUACUGGGCGUAAAGAGUCUGUAGCCGGGUUUGUAAGUCUGUUUUCAAAUCCUAUGGCUUAACCAUAGAGAGGGAAUGGAUACUGCAAACCUUGAGAUUAUUGGGGGUUGAUGGAAUUUCCGGUGGAGCGGUGAAAUGCGUUGAUAUCGGAAGGAACGCCAAAAGUGAAAGCAGUCAACUACAAUAAAUCUGACGGUCAGAGACGAAAGCUUGGGGAGCAAACGGGAUUAGAUACCCCGGUAGUCCAAGCCGUACAUUAUGCAUGCUAGGUGUCUUGUUCACUUUAUGUGAGCGGGGUGCCGUAAUCUAACGAGUUAAGCAUGCCGCCUGGGUAGUAUAUUCGCAAGAAUGAAACUCAAAGGGAUAGGCGGGGGAACACACAAGCAGUGGAUUGUCUCGAUUAAUUGGAUAAUAAGCCAAGUAUCUUACCUAGACUUGACAUAUAUUGUGUCCUACGUGAAAGUGUAGUAAUCCCGAUUUUGUCGGGAUACGAUAUACAGGUGGUGCAUGGUCGUCGUCAGCUCGUGCCGCAAGAUGUCCAGUUAAGUCUGGGAACGAGCGCAACCCUCGUUGUUAGUUAGAAUGUCUAACAAGACUGCUCCGGCAACGGAGAGGAAGGAGAGGAUGACGUCAGAUCAUCAUGCCCCUUACGUCUAGGGCUUCAUAGACAAUACAAUGGAUAGUACAGCGAGAAGCGAUGCCGCGAGGCUAAGCAAAUC
This 1037-nucleotide ribosomal RNA is filed under the name uncultured organism. Its description in RNAcentral is "bacterial SSU rRNA". It matches the Rfam family "Bacterial small subunit ribosomal RNA", at positions 216 to 1273 of the family's 1533-position model. The record is from RNAcentral.